RNAcentral lists this ribosomal RNA (253 nucleotides) under uncultured bacterium. Its description in RNAcentral is "partial 16S ribosomal RNA". It matches the Rfam family "Bacterial small subunit ribosomal RNA", at positions 524 to 776 of the family's 1533-position model. The record is from RNAcentral.
UACGUAUGGUGCAAGCGUUAUCCGGAUUUACUGGGCGUAAAGGGAGCGCAGGCGGCGCGCCAAGUCUGAUGUGAAACCCCGGGGCUCAACCCCGGGCAUGCAUUGGAAACUGGCGGGCUGGAGUGCCGGAGAGGUAAGCGGAAUUCCUAGUGUAGCGGUGAAAUGCGUAGAUAUUAGGAGGAACACCAGUGGCGAAGGCGGCUUACUGGACGGCAACUGACGCCGAGGCUCGAAAGCGUGGGGAGCAAACAGG